Molecule: ribosomal RNA, 433 nt
Filed under: uncultured bacterium
Lineage: Bacteria
Description: partial 16S ribosomal RNA
Rfam family: Bacterial small subunit ribosomal RNA
Source: RNAcentral
AACGAACGCUGGCGGCAUGCCUAACACAUGCAAGUCGAACGAGACCUUCGGGUCUAGUGGCGCACGGGUGCGUAACGCGUGGGAACCUGCCCUUAGGUUCGGACUAACUCCCCGAAAGGGGUGCUAAUACCGGAUAAUGUCUUCGGACCAAAGAUUUAUCGCCUUUGUAUGGGCCCGCGUUGGAUUAGCUAGUUGGUAGGGUAAAAGCCUACCAAGGCGACGAUCCAUAGCUGGUCUGAGAGGAUGAGCAGCCACACUGGGACUGAGACACGGCCCAGACUCCUACGGGAGGCAGCAGUGGGGAAUAUUGGACAAUGGGCGAAAGCCUGAUCCAGCAAUGCCGCUUGAGUGAUGAAGGCCGUAGGGUUGUAAAGCUCUUUUACCCGGGAUGAUAAUGACAGUACCGGGAGAAUAAGCUCCGGCUAACUCCGUG